GGGUUGUGAGGUUAAGCGACUAAGCGUACACGGUGGAUGCCCUGGCAGUCAGAGGCGAUGAAGGACGUGCUAAUCUGCGAUAAGCGUCGGUAAGGUGAUAUGAACCGUUAUAACCGGCGAUUUCCGAAUGGGGAAACCCAGUGUGAUUCGUCACACUAUCAUUAACUGAAUCCAUAGGUUAAUGAGGCGAACCGGGGGAACUGAAACAUCUAAGUACCCCGAGGAAAAGAAAUCAACCGAGAUUCCCCCAGUAGCGGCGAGCGAACGGGGAGCAGCCCAGAGCCUGAAUCAGUGUGUGUGUUAGUGGAAGCGUCUGGAAAGGCGUGCGAUACAGGGUGACAGCCCCGUACACAAAAAUGCACAUACUGUGAGCUCGAUGAGUAGGGCGGGACACGUGGUAUCCUGUCUGAAUAUGGGGGGACCAUCCUCCAAGGCUAAAUACUCCUGACUGACCGAUAGUGAACCAGUACCGUGAGGGAAAGGCGAAAAGAACCCCGGCGAGGGGAGUGAAAAAGAACCUGAAACCGUGUACGUACAAGCAGUGGGAGCACGCUUAGGCGUGUGACUGCGUACCUUUUGUAUAAUGGGUCAGCGACUUAUAUUCUGUAGCAAGGUUAACCGAAUAGGGGAGCCGAAGGGAAACCGAGUCUUAACUGGGCGUUAAGUUGCAGGGUAUAGACCCGAAACCCGGUGAUCUAGCCAUGGGCAGGUUGAAGGUUGGGUAACACUAACUGGAGGACCGAACCGACUAAUGUUGAAAAAUUAGCGGAUGACUUGUGGCUGGGGGUGAAAGGCCAAUCAAACCGGGAGAUAGCUGGUUCUCCCCGAAAGCUAUUUAGGUAGCGCCUCGUGAAUUCAUCUCCGGGGGUAGAGCACUGUUUCGGCAAGGGGGUCAUCCCGACUUACCAACCCGAUGCAAACUGCGAAUACCGGAGAAUGUUAUCACGGGAGACACACGGCGGGUGCUAACGUCCGUCGUGAAGAGGGAAACAACCCAGACCGCCAGCUAAGGUCCCAAAGUCAUGGUUAAGUGGGAAACGAUGUGGGAAGGCCCAGACAGCCAGGAUGUUGGCUUAGAAGCAGCCAUCAUUUAAAGAAAGCGUAAUAGCUCACUGGUCGAGUCGGCCUGCGCGGAAGAUGUAACGGGGCUAAACCAUGCACCGAAGCUGCGGCAGCGACGCUUAUGCGUUGUUGGGUAGGGGAGCGUUCUGUAAGCCUGUGAAGGUGUGCUGUGAGGUAUGCUGGAGGUAUCAGAAGUGCGAAUGCUGACAUAAGUAACGAUAAAGCGGGUGAAAAGCCCGCUCGCCGGAAGACCAAGGGUUCCUGUCCAACGUUAAUCGGGGCAGGGUGAGUCGACCCCUAAGGCGAGGCCGAAAGGCGUAGUCGAUGGGAAACAGGUUAAUAUUCCUGUACUUGGUGUUACUGCGAAGGGGGGACGGAGAAGGCUAUGUUGGCCGGGCGACGGUUGUCCCGGUUUAAGCGUGUAGGCUGGUUUUCCAGGCAAAUCCGGAAAAUCAAGGCCGAGGCGUGAUGACGAGGCACUACGGUGCUGAAGCAACAAAUGCCCUGCUUCCAGGAAAAGCCUCUAAGCAUCAGGUAACAUCAAAUCGUACCCCAAACCGACACAGGUGGUCAGGUAGAGAAUACCAAGGCGCUUGAGAGAACUCGGGUGAAGGAACUAGGCAAAAUGGUGCCGUAACUUCGGGAGAAGGCACGCUGAUACGUAGGUGAAGCGACUUGCUCGUGGAGCUGAAAUCAGUCGAAGAUACCAGCUGGCUGCAACUGUUUAUUAAAAACACAGCACUGUGCAAACACGAAAGUGGACGUAUACGGUGUGACGCCUGCCCGGUGCCGGAAGGUUAAUUGAUGGGGUUAGCGCAAGCGAAGCUCUUGAUCGAAGCCCCGGUAAACGGCGGCCGUAACUAUAACGGUCCUAAGGUAGCGAAAUUCCUUGUCGGGUAAGUUCCGACCUGCACGAAUGGCGUAAUGAUGGCCAGGCUGUCUCCACCCGAGACUCAGUGAAAUUGAACUCGCUGUGAAGAUGCAGUGUACCCGCGGCAAGACGGAAAGACCCCGUGAACCUUUACUAUAGCUUGACACUGAACAUUGAGCCUUGAUGUGUAGGAUAGGUGGGAGGCUUUGAAGUGUGGACGCCAGUCUGCAUGGAGCCGACCUUGAAAUACCACCCUUUAAUGUUUGAUGUUCUAACGUGGACCCGUGAUCCGGGUUGCGGACAGUGUCUGGUGGGUAGUUUGACUGGGGCGGUCUCCUCCUAAAGAGUAACGGAGGAGCACGAAGGUUGGCUAAUCCUGGUCGGACAUCAGGAGGUUAGUGCAAUGGCAUAAGCCAGCUUGACUGCGAGCGUGACGGCGCGAGCAGGUGCGAAAGCAGGUCAUAGUGAUCCGGUGGUUCUGAAUGGAAGGGCCAUCGCUCAACGGAUAAAAGGUACUCCGGGGAUAACAGGCUGAUACCGCCCAAGAGUUCAUAUCGACGGCGGUGUUUGGCACCUCGAUGUCGGCUCAUCACAUCCUGGGGCUGAAGUAGGUCCCAAGGGUAUGGCUGUUCGCCAUUUAAAGUGGUACGCGAGCUGGGUUUAGAACGUCGUGAGACAGUUCGGUCCCUAUCUGCCGUGGGCGCUGGAGAACUGAGGGGGGCUGCUCCUAGUACGAGAGGACCGGAGUGGACGCAUCACUGGUGUUCGGGUUGUCAUGCCAAUGGCACUGCCCGGUAGCUAAAUGCGGAAGAGAUAAGUGCUGAAAGCAUCUAAGCACGAAACUUGCCCCGAGAUGAG
RNAcentral lists this ribosomal RNA (2791 nucleotides) under Shigella flexneri. RNAcentral's name for it is "partial 23S ribosomal RNA". It matches the Rfam family "Bacterial large subunit ribosomal RNA". Lineage: Bacteria; Pseudomonadati; Pseudomonadota; Gammaproteobacteria; Enterobacterales; Enterobacteriaceae. The record is from RNAcentral.